RNAcentral lists this long non-coding RNA (8516 nucleotides) under Panax ginseng (ginseng). Its description in RNAcentral is "long non-coding RNA (PGIN_LNC012549)". Lineage: Eukaryota; Viridiplantae; Streptophyta; Magnoliopsida; Apiales; Araliaceae. The record is from RNAcentral.
AACAUAAUAAAUACAAACCUCUAAUAAAUCUCAAAAUAUCUCCAAUAAAAUUUAAUACCAAAUGCCACACACUCCGAUUUAAAUAGAAGGAACUCCACGUUUACAUAGUCUCUACUAAUAAGAAAUAAAUGCCAAAAUAGGCACCAAAACAUCCAAUUGCAAAAUCUUAGGAAAAUCAAGUCUACUAAUAAUCUCAAGAGCUAAUCUACUCAUUUGAAUCAAAGGUAGCUCUCAUCAUGCAUAUCCUGAUCACCCCUGAUUACCUGCCGGAAAAAGAACACAGCGUAAGGCAAUUGCCCAGUACGGAUAUGAAAAUGAAUAAAUAUAUCACAAUAAGUAAUGAAUCUAAAAGAGUUGAAUGAAUGAACACAUGUGAAUUACAAACGAAUUACGAAUAGAUCAAAAUUUGAGAGUCCAUUUACAAAUGACUAACACUGUCAAUCAAUAAUUAUAGCCAAAAGAAUCCCAAACAAAUAAGGCUGAAUCAAAUGGUUGUAAGAUAACAAUUUCAUACUGAGCUCAAAUACAAAUAGCCAAAGGCUAACAAAAUACAUCGGUACCAUGAUGUAUACAAAUCAAAUCGGAUAGUACGCACGACACAUACGUCACUAAUCCGCCAAACAAAUCGAAUCAAAUCAAAUACUGGGUCGACCCAUAAGUAUCCUGAACAAAUAUAUCAAAUGGCCAAAGCUCAUACUCCGAGCAUACAAAAUAAUACGUCGUGGACUGAUCACACUGCCACAGAAGGUGUCAUGCCCUUGUGUCAAGAGGACAUGCCUGUGGUACCCCCACAGGUGGUUAGCUCAAAUAUACCUUAAUGAUCAAACUACAAAAUGUAAGCCAAAAGGGUUCAAAUCACAAUGCUUACAUGGCCAUAUUCAAAUGAAAUCGAAUUAUCAAAUACAAACAUACCCAAUUGUUACAAGAUAUCAAUGAUCAAAAUAACUCGAGUGUGAACGAAAAUAUACGAACAAUGGUACAAACAAAUAAACUCUCCAAAACAUAUUGACACGAUUAACUAGUUCAAAGAGUACAAAUACGAAUUCAAAUAUCAACGCCAAAACGAAACUAUCUCAAUAAUUUUGACAAGGAAUAAUCCCGAGAGGCAAUACCAAAUUUCUAAACGAGUACAAAACGAACGAAUUAAAUUUAAAGGAAUAUUACUGAAAAAGUACGGAAUCCGUACCUUAAUAUAGUACCAAAUAAUUCGCCGAAUCCAACUAUCACCCGCUAAACUCCCCCAAUCCAAUCUAAUUAUCAAAAUAAAAUAUAAAGCAUAUAAUUAAAUUACGAACUCAUACAAAUUAUAUUUUCACAAAUUUAAUAAUUUUAAUAUACUAUAUUCAGUUUGUACUAAAAGAUAUAUUUUAAUUAUAAUAACAAUAUUAUAAUAUUAUUUACUAUUAUCCCCUUUUUAAAUUUUUGCAUAUCUUAUUUAUAUAUAUAUAUAUACACAUAUAUAUAUAUAUCAAAUCUGCAGUAUAUAUAUAAAAAAAACUAAUUUGUAGGAUUAUAUAUAUAUAUAUAUAUAUAUAUAUAUAUAUUAUAUCUAUGCCUGUGAAUCUAUAUAUAUAUAAUUCCUGCGGCUUACUUUUAUAUAUAUAUAUAUAUAUAUAUAUAUAUAUAUAUAUAUAUAUAUAUAUAUANNNNNNNNNNNNNNNNNNNNNNNNNNNNNNNNNNNNNNNNNNNNNNNNNNNNNNNNNNNNNNNNNNNNNNNNNNNNNNNNNNNNNNNNNNNNNNNNNNNNGAUUCGCAGAGAUAUAAUAAAGCAGUUAGGUUUAGGUUUAUUUAUUAAUUAAUAUAUUUUAUUAAUACUUUUAAUUUUAUUAGGAUUUAAAAUGACACAAAUAUAAAUUAGACCCAAUUAAUGUAAUAUUACUUAUUAUGGUCCAAAUAAAUUAAAUAGAAUCUAACCCAAACAUAAGGAAAGCCCAAUUAAAUAUUUUAAAGCUUACUUAAUUAUUUUAUUAUUAUUUUAUUGGGUAUUACAUCACCUUCCCCUUAAAAAGGAUUCCGUCCCCGGAAUCAAAAGAACAGAACGUACCUAAUUUUCAAAAAGAUGUGGAUAUUCCACUCGAAUAGACUCCUCUAUCUCCCAAGUAGCUUCCCGCUCCGAAUUGUUUUUCCACAGGACUUUAACAAAAGGAAUUGUCUUCCUCCUCAUAAUCCGUUUUUGACGAUCUAGAAUCGCCUCGGCUUCUUCCUCACAAGUAAGAUCUUCUUGAAUCUUAUGUAACGGGUAUUGCACAACAUGAAGCGGAUGAUAGUUAUAUUUCUUUAACACCGAAACAUGAAAUAUAUUAUGUACAUGAGAUAACUAUGGAGGCAAAGCCACCCGAUAUGCCACUUCUCCAACUCUCUCAAGGACUUCAAAAGGGCCAACGAAACGCAGACUAAGCUUCCCUUUCAAACCAAACCUUUCAACACCUUUCCAUGGAGAAACUUUCAAAAACACGUGUUCACCAGGCGUGAAUUCAAGAGCCCUCCUAUGAAUAUCAGCAUAACUCUUUUGCCGCGAUCUAGCUUCUUUCAAUUUUUUUUAGCCACUGCUACCUUUUCCGUAGUAAUCCUAAUCAAAUCGGGUCCUUCUAUUACCCUUUCUCCAACCUCAUCCCAACAAGUCGGAGCUCGACACUUCUUACCAUACAAAGCUUCAAAAGGAGCCAUACCAAUACUAGCUUGCCAACUGUUAUUAUAUGCGAACUCCACCAAAGUCAAAUAAUCAUCCCAGUUUCCUGUCCACUCUAAAGCACAAGAUCGCAACAUGUCUUCUAAUGUCUGAAUAGUUCUCUCUGAUUGUCCAUCUGUCUGCGGGUGAAAAGUUGUACUAUAGUUGAGUCGCGUUCCCCAAGCUCGUUGAAAUCCUUUCCAAAAUCGAGAAGUAAACCGCGGAUCCUGAUCCAAAACAAUAGAAACUGGUGUCCCAUGAAGCCUAACAAUCUCACGUUGAAAAAUAUCUGCUAUCUUAUUCACCGAAAAAUUCUCACGAAUAGCCAGAAAAUGCGUCGAUUUGGUCAAACGAUCCACUACCACCCAAAUAGCAGAAUUUUUUUUAAGAGUCCUCGGUAAUCCAAUCACAAAGUCCAUCGAAAUGUCAUCCCAUUUCCACACGAGAAUCUCUAACUGUUGCAACAAACCACCAGGCCGCUGAUGCUCUAUUUUCACCUGCUGACAAGUAAGACAUUUACUCACAAAUUCAGCUACAUCCCUUUUCAUUCCACUCCACCAAAAAUUCUCCUUCAGAUCCUUAUACAUCUCUGUAGACCCCGGAUGAAUAGAAAAUGGCAAACUAUGAGCUUCAGUCAACACUGCCUCACGAAUCAUUGGAUCCACUGGAACACAUAACCAUUUACCAAACCAUAUCACACCUUGCUCAUCAAUACGAAACUCUGGCUGCCUACCCUCAUCCAUAUUCUGUGCUACAGCCCACAACUCGCCAUCCUCCUUUUGGGCUUCCUUGAUACGCAAAAUAAGAGAAGGUUCCACCCUUAUACCUGUUACCAACCCAUCAGAGCCUCUAGUAUAUAGCUCCAAACCCAUACGCUCCAUAUCCGAGAUAAGUUGAGGUUGUGUAACCAAGGCAGCUACACUCCCUGAACUCUUUCGGCUAAGAGCAUCUGCAACCACAUUAGCCUUACCGGGGUGACACUGAAUCCUAGCAUCAUAGUCCUUGAGAAGCUCCAACCAACGCCUCUGCCUCAUGUUAAGCUCCUUCUGAGUAAAAAUAUAUUUAAGGCUCUUGUAGUCGGUGAAAAUGUCACAAGUCUCUCCAUAUAGAUAGUGCCUCCAAAUAUUUAGGGCAAAAAUAAUUGCUGCUAACUCCAAGUCGUUGGUAGGGUAAUUUACCUCAUAAGGUUUAAGUUGUUUGGAAGCAUAAGCAAUUACCUUACCAUGUUGCAUCAAAACACACCCUAAUCCCUUCUUGGAAGCAUCACUGUAAAUCUGAUAACCUCCUAUCCUCGACGGUAAUGUAAGCACCGGAGCCGACACAAGCCUCUUCUUAAGCUCCUCAAAACUAUUCUCACGUUCUUCAUUCCACAUAAACUUUCUGCCCUUCUUCAUCAACUGAGUUAAUAGCAAAGCUAACAAAGAGAAACCUUCCACAAAUCGCCUGUAGUACCCUGCCAAACCCAAGAAAAUCCUUACUUCAGUUACCGUGGUAGGUCUUGGCCAAUUAGUGAUAGCCUCAACCUUCGCAAGAUCCACCUUAAUACCUUCAGCAGACACGACAUGUCCCAAAAAUGCUACCUGUUUUAACCAAAACUGGCAUUUGGAGAACUUAGCAUAUAACUUAUUCUUUUGCAGAACUCCCAAAAUAGUACAAAGAUGCUCUUCAUGCACCUCCUUAGACUUGGAAUACACCAAAAUGUCAUCAAUGAAGACAAUGACAAAUUGGUCCAAAUACUCGCUAAAAACCCAAUUCAUCAUAUCCAUAAACACUGUCGGAGCAUUAGUUAGCCCAAAAGACAUCACUAAAAACUCAUAGUGCCCAUACCGAGUACGAAAAGCUAUUUUUGGAAUGUCCUCUUUCCUCACCCUUAACUGAUGGUACCCCGACCUCAAAUCUAUCUUUGAGAAGAACUUUGCCCCUUAGAGCUGAUCAAAAAGGUCAUCUAUCCGUGGAAAUGGAUAUCUGUUCCUGAUAGUGAUCCGAUUUAGCUCCCUAUAAUCUAUACACAAUCUCAUAGAUCCGUCCUUCUUCUUCACAAAUAAGACUGGAGCACCCCAUGGCGAUACACUCGGUCUAAUGAAUCCACUAUCUAACAACUCCUGUAAUUGUUCCUUCAACCCCUGUAACUCUAAUGGAGCCAUUCUAUAGGGUGCCUUAGAGAUAGGUUCCGCUCCAGGAAUGAGCUCAAUAAUAAACUCAACUUCCCUUGGCGGUGGCAAUCCUGGCAGAUCCUUAGGAAAUACCUCAGGAAAUUCUCGCACAAUUGGAUAGUCAUCAAGUUGGGGCUCAUCCCUCGAGGUAUCCUUCACAUAAGCCAAAUAACAAUCACGUCCCUUAGCAAUCAUUUUGCUCACCUUCAAAGCUGAGAUCAACUUUACAACACCAUUCGGCUUGGAACAUUGAAACUCGAAUUCUAGAGCUUCUAAGGUUCCAAAAAUAACCUUCCUCGCCUGACAAUCAAUAGUGGCUCGAUGCUUACUCAGCCAAUCCAUACCCAAGAUAAUAUCAAAAUCAUGCAUCACUAUCGGAAGUAAGUUAGUUGCGUACACUCUCCUCCCUAACUUCAAAGGACACUCGCGAAAGUGCUCAGAAAUAAUCACAGAAUUCCCCGUCGGGGUAGCAAUAGACAAAUGAGGAUUUAAUAUUUGAGAAGACACUCCAAGAUGACAAAUAAAUGAAAGUGCAACAAUAGAGUGUGUAGAUCCAGUGUCAAACAAAACCGAAUGCCUCACGAUUUCCUACAAGAAGAAUGCCUGAAAUAGUACCUGGUGCUUGGGCCGCCUGAUUAGCUGUUAAUGCAAAUACUCUCCCACCGGUGUUGCACUGACCACCAUUACCAGCAUUACCGCCUCCCACAUUACCACGCUGAACUGGGCAGUCCCUUGCUCUAUGUCCCAUUUGUCCACAUAAGAAACAAGCCCCUGUCUCUCUAUAACAUGCCCUACCAGCAUGAUACCCACCACAAGUAGUACAUGGACCAGGUGAAAGUGGCAAAAGGUUCGGAUUGCCCCCACCUGCCGGUCCUGGAUACCGCCCCUGAAUUUGACCCUGUUGGCGAUGCUGACCCUGAUUUUGAUUCUGUUGGAAACCCCUAUUCUGUUAAAAUCCCCUAUUUUGAUACUGCCCUCCAUCUUGCCAAUGACCAUGCUGCUGACCUCCACGACCACCCUGCUGCAUUGGGUAAGCAAAAUCCCUUCGAGGAUUAAAUCGCUGACCCGAUGGAGGCUCAUUCUAAUUAUUUUGCCUUCUAUUCUGAUUUCUGCCAAACUGCCCCAUUCCUUGCCCUUGCUGGUCAUCUCUAUCUCUCUUUCGACUCCCUUCUGAUUUGGAAGCUCGAAAGUCCUUGUGCUCUAUUUCCACACUCUUAGCUGCAUUGGCCACCUGUGAUACAUCUGUAAAUAUGGUGUGGAUGAUCGAUCUCCUAUACUCAUAUUUCAAAGCCCAUUUAAACUUUUCUGCCUGCUGUUCAGCUGUCCCAGCUAUUGAACCCGCAAAACCAGCCAAUCUUGUAAACCUCGCUAUGAAAUCAGUAAUAGUCUCAUCAUCCUUCUGCCGAAUGGACACAAAUUCCCUGAUGUAUGCAUCCCUAUCAGCGUUUGGGAAAUACUGCUGAUAGAAAAGGUCACAAAAACCGCUCCAUAUGAGUCCAUCCAUAAAUCCAUCUCCCUGUGUAGCCUUCAACGAUUUCCACCAUCGUUGAGCAUCAUCCUCUAACUUAUAUACUGCUAAUCUCACCUUCUGAUUUUUGGUACACCCAAUAACAUCAAAAAUCUUCUCCAAGUGGGCGAUCCAGUUCUCCGCAUCAAUUGGAGUUGGAGCAAAACGAAAAGAGUUAGGCUUCUGCUUAAUGAACCUCUCCAAUAACAUAUACAACGGCUGCACUUGCUGACCCACUUGAUCCUCGGGAGGAACAUUCUGCUCAUGCUGUGGUAUCUCUGCAUCAUUCCCUAUGCCAUUUGCAUGCUGAUUUCCUUGCAUCUGCGGAAUACCCUGCAUGGCCUGUGCCACGGCCUGCGUAACUGCAUCAUUCACCAUUGCUGCAACCAUAGCCGGGGUUAUUGUCGCAUUACCAUGAUUCCCAUCGUUUUCACCUUGGUUAACAGCCUCAACCUGGGGUUGCCUCUGACCCCUCCUACCGUUAUUACCCUACCUCCCAGCAAUUCUCGAAGACCUACGAGCCAUCUAUGAUACAAAAUCAAACAGACGAGAACAAACAGAUCAAAACAAAUAAUCAAAGCCAAAUUUAUGCAAAACGAAAAUCAAUCGCAAUACAACUCUAUAAUAAAAUCUUACAACUACCCAAUGGUCUACCCAUAACUCACAGGUCAAGCCUAAAAGGCAAUCUACAAGAUCAUAACCUAUGCUCUGAUACCAACUCUGUAACACCCCCUUUCCCAAAAGAAAAAAGGGAUGUCACGCACAAACAUAAUAAAUACAAACCUCUAAUAAAUCUCAAAAUAUCUCUAAUAAAAUUUAAUACCAAAUGCCACACACUCUGAUUUAAAUAGAAGGAACUCCAAGUUUAUAUAGUCUCUACUAAUAAGAAAUAAAUGCCAAAAUAGGCCCCAAAACAUCCAAUUACAAAAUCUUAGGAAAAUCAAGUCUACUAAUAAUCUCAAGAGCUAAUCUACUCAUUUGGAUCAAAGGUAGCUCUCAUCACACAUAUCCUGAUCACCCCUGAUUACCUGCCGGAAAAAGAACACAGCGUGAGCCAAUUGCCCAGUACAGAUAUGAAAAUAAAUAAAUAUAUCACAAUAAGUAAUGAAUCUAAACGAGUUGAAUGAAUGAACACAUGUAAAUUACAAACGAAUUACGAAUAGAUCAAAAUUUAAGAGUCCAUUUACAAAUGACUAACACUGUCAAUCGAAUAAUUAUAGCCAAAAGAAUCCCAAACAAAUAAGGCCGAAUCAAAUGGUUGUAAGAUAACAAUUUCAUACUGAGCUCAAAUACAAAUACAUCGGUACCAUGAUGUAUACAAAUCAAAUCGGAUAGUACGCACGACACAUACGUCAAUAAUCUGCCAAACAAAUCGAAUCAAAUCAAAUACUGGGUCGACCCAUACGUAUCCUGAACAAAUAUAUCAAAUGGCCAAAGCUCAUACUCCGAGCAUACAAAAGAAUACGCCGUGGACUGAUCACACCGCCAUGGAAGGUGUCAUGCCCUUGUGUCAAGAGGACAUGCCUGUGGUACCCCCACAGGUGGUUAGCUCAAAUAUACCCUAAUGAUCAAACUACAAAAUGUAAGCCAAAAGGGGUUCAAAUCACAAUGCUUACAUGGCCAUAUUCAAAUGAAAUCGAAUUAUCAAAUACAAACAUACCCAAUUGUUACAAGAUAUCAAUGAUCAAAACAACUCCGAAUGUGAACGAAAAUAUACGAACAAUAGUACAAACAAAUAGUCUCCAAAACAUAUUGACACGAUUAACUAGUUCAAAUAGUACAAAUACGAAUUUAAAUAUCAACGCCAAAACGAAACUAUCUCAAUAAUUUUGACAAGGAAUAAUCCCGAGAGGCAAUACCAAAUUUCUAAACGAGUACAAAACGAACGAAUUAAAUUUAAAGGAAUAUCGCUGAAAAAGUACGGAAUCCGUACCUUAAUGUAGUACCAAAUAAUUCGCCGAAUCCAACUAUCACCCGCUAAACUCCUCCAAUCCGAUCUAAUUAUCAAAAUAAAAUAUAAAGCAUAUAAUUAAAUUACGAACUCAUACAAAUUAUAUUUUCACAAAUUUAAUAAUUUUAAUAUACUAUAUUCAGUUUGUACUCAAAAGAUAUAUUUUAACUAUAAUAAUAAUAUUAUAAUAUUAUUUACUACUAUCCCCUUUUUAAAUUUUUGCAUAUCUUAUAUAUAU